UAUUUUURUUGUAAAAUUUUAAGUUGGAGUAUUAGUAGAUAUGUUCUUGAAACUUAAAGAAUUUGGCGGCAUUAUAGUCUAUUUAGAGGAAUCUGUUAUGUAAUCGAUAAUCCACGUUGAACCUUACUUAUAUUAAUUUUUGUAUACCGCUGUUUAAUGAAUAUACUUUUAGGUGAAUUUUCUGGAUAUAAAAAUAUUUAAUAUUUCAAGUCAAGGUGCAGUAAUAUAUAAGUUGAAUAAUGGAUUACAAUAAAAUGUAUUUAUUAUGGAUUUUUAUUGAAAUAUAAUUUGAAGGUGGAUUUAAUUGUAAUUUUAUAUAGAUUAUUAAAAUGAUUUUUAGCUCUAUAAUGUGUACACAUCGCCC
This 364-nucleotide ribosomal RNA is filed under the name Galinthias amoena. RNAcentral describes it as "partial 12S ribosomal RNA". Lineage: Eukaryota; Metazoa; Arthropoda; Insecta; Mantodea; Hymenopodidae. The record is from RNAcentral.